AGUGAACGCUGGCGGUAGGCCUAACACAUGCAAGCCGAACGGCAGCACAGUAAGAGCUUGCUCUUACGGGUGGCGAGUGGCGGACGGGUGAGGAAUACAUCGGAAUCUACUUUUUCGUGGGGGAUAACGUGGGGAAACUUACGCUAAUACCGCAUACGACCUACGGGUGAAAGCAGGGGAUCUUCGGACCUUGCGCGAUUGAAUGAGCCGAUGUCGGAUUAGCUAGUUGGCGGGGUAAAGGCCCACCAAGGCGACGAUCCGUAGCUGGUCUGAGAGGAUGAUCAGCCACACUGGAACUGAGACACGGUCCAGACUCCUACGGGAGGCAGCAGUGGGGAAUAUUGGACAAUGGGCGCAAGCCUGAUCCAGCCAUACCGCGUGGGUGAAGAAGGCCUUCGGGUUGUAAAGCCCUUUUGUUGGGAAAGAAAAGCAGCAGGUUAAUACCCCGCUGUUCUGACGGUACCCAAAGAAUAAGCACCGGCUAACUUCGUG
Molecule: ribosomal RNA, 492 nt
Filed under: uncultured bacterium
Lineage: Bacteria
Description: partial 16S ribosomal RNA
Rfam family: Bacterial small subunit ribosomal RNA
Source: RNAcentral